AACAAGUUUGGUUCUGGCUUUAGUUUUAAUUUGAACUAUGAGAAAUACAUGAAAUUGUUUGAAUAUAGUGAGUAGAUAAGGGUUUUCAAAAUGUCAAGAACUUUUUGGAAACAUAAAAGUAUUAUUUUUUAUAUGAUGCUUAGUUAUUCCACUUCAUCAGUAUUGAAGAUUAAAUAUAUAUGAAAUUAGGAUUUAGUAAUUAGUUUAGAAAUUUGGAAAAAUUUGUGCCAGCCUCCGCGGUUAGACAAAUGAAGUUGAAUUAAAAUGGUAACGGUAGAAAAUAUGAUUAAUUUUUUUGGUAGAUGGAUCUUUUUCAUUUUUAUGGGUUAAAUCAGAAAAGUGAUAAUUAAUUUUUUUCCGUUUUGAGAAUGAUGUCAUGAAAGCUUUAUAAUAGACCGGGAUUAGAUACCCCGUUAUUUAAGAAGUAAAUAUAGAUUUUUUUUAUACCUGAGUAUUACGAGAUUUUUCUUAAAACUCAAAGAACUUGGCGGUGCCUUAGACCCAGUCAGGGGAACCUGCUCCGUAAUCGAUAUUCCACGUAGUACCUGACUUUCUUUUGCUGGCAGUUUGUAUACCGUCGUCGUUAGGUGACUUUUUAGAAGAGAAAAGUUAGCGAAAGGAUAUUUUUAUCUAAAUGUCAGAUCAAGGUGCAGCUUAUAAGAAAGUGGAGGUGGGUUACUUUAAAAAAUUUUUUAUGGAUCUUUUUUUGAAAACAAGAAGUGAAAAUGGACUUGAGAGUAAAUUUUAAGAAAGAGUGUUAAAUUGAACCAGGAUUUAAGGUGUGCACACAUCGCCCGUCACUCUCGUUGAAAAAUGAGAUAAGUCGUAACAUAGUAAAGGUACCGGAAGGUGUUUUUAUAAGACA
This 865-nucleotide non-coding RNA is filed under the name Lirapex sp. ZZ-2022. Lineage: Eukaryota; Metazoa; Mollusca; Gastropoda; Neomphalida; Peltospiridae. The record is from RNAcentral.